GGAGAGUUGGCAGAGAGGAUUAAUGCAGCGGUCUUGAAAACCGUCGUGGGUCAAACCACCAUGGGUUCAAAUCCCAUAUUCUCCUCCA
RNAcentral lists this transfer RNA (88 nucleotides) under Bacillus wiedmannii. RNAcentral's name for it is "tRNA-Ser". It matches the Rfam family "tRNA". Rfam says of the family: Transfer RNA (tRNA) molecules are approximately 80 nucleotides in length. Their secondary structure includes four short double-helical elements and three loops (D, anti-codon, and T loops). The record is from RNAcentral. Lineage: Bacteria; Bacillati; Bacillota; Bacilli; Caryophanales; Bacillaceae.